AUGAUAAGUUCAGUCUACAACCCACUGGGGAUGUUCUCUCCAGUCGUAGUGCCUGCCAAAAACAUUCUCCAGGAAUUGUGCAGACUGAGAACAGGAUGGGACGAUGCUGUGCCAGACCAUCUCGCACAACACUGGUCAAGGUGGAUGGAAGAGCUUCAGCAGCUCACCAACUUUGGAGUGGACCGGUGCUUCAAACCACCAGAGUUUGGAGAAACAGUGGAGGCUCAACUACAUCACUUCAGUGACGCAAGUGAAACAGGCUACGGUGUUGUCACUUACCUGGUCCAGAAGAACAGCAGCAACCAAAUACACUGCUCAUUCAUCAUGGGGAAGGCAAGGGUUGCCCCUCUUAAACCCAUAACUAUCCCGCGGCUGGAGCUGACAGCGGCUACCUUAGCUGUUAAGGUGGACACCAUAAUAAAGAAAGAACUGCAGAUUCCACUGUCAGAUUCCAAGUUCUGGACAGACAGCACCGCUGUACUCAAGUACAUAGCAAAUGAGAAGAACAGAUUCAAGACAUUUGUGGUGAAUCGGAUCGCUAUGAUCUUACAAGCAUCAAGAGUGGGGCAAUGGAGCUACAUUAACUCACGGUUGAAUCCAGCUGACUACGCUUCCAGGGGUCAAAGGGUGAGUGUGUUCACACAGAACAAAGUAUGGAUCUCAGGGCCUGCUUUCCUCAGCAAGCCAGAAUCAGAAUGGCCAGACCAGUGUGUUCACUUGGAGGAGCUUACAGUGGUAGAUCCUGAGGCCAAGAAAGGCAUACUCGUUAACGCUACUACAGUAGAAGAAAACACUGAUGUAAUGCAACAACUAACAGAACACUUCUCUUCCUGGAUACGGCUAAAAAAGGCGGUGGCAUGGCUCGCUCGAGUCAAAGGGACGCUGGUGAACCUGUCAAAGAAGAGAAAGGAAAUGAAUGAAUCAUACAAGGACCAAGAACAAGUGAACAAAGAAAUGACAAGCUAUAAGAGGAGUCUCAAACAGACUUACCUGACUCUGGACGAUCUGCGACAAGCUGACCUGGAUAUCAUCCGUCAUUGUCAGCAAAGGAAGAGGAAAUGUCUGCUCUUCAGAGAAAAGGAAUGCAACUUCUUGCUAGCGUUAGACUGA
RNAcentral lists this long non-coding RNA (1110 nucleotides) under Takifugu rubripes (torafugu). RNAcentral describes it as "lncRNA (ENSTRUG00000027621.1)". The record is from RNAcentral. Lineage: Eukaryota; Metazoa; Chordata; Actinopteri; Tetraodontiformes; Tetraodontidae.